GACAGAGGUCUCGAGCGUUAGGCGGAAUCACUGGGCUUAAAGCGUGUGUAGGCGGAGUGCUAAGUACCUUGUGAAAUCCCUCGGCUUAACCGAGGAACUGCCUGUCAAACUGCAUGGCUUGAGACCGGGAGAGGUGAGUGGAAUUCCCAGUGUAGCGGUGAAAUGCGUAGAUAUUGGGAGGAACGCCAGUGGCGAAGGCGGCUCACUGGACCGGUACUGACGCUGAUGCGCGAAAGCGUGGGGAGCAAACAGG
This 253-nucleotide ribosomal RNA is filed under the name uncultured bacterium. RNAcentral's name for it is "partial 16S ribosomal RNA". It matches the Rfam family "Bacterial small subunit ribosomal RNA", at positions 524 to 776 of the family's 1533-position model. The record is from RNAcentral.